RNAcentral lists this transfer RNA (71 nucleotides) under Luteuthis dentatus. Its description in RNAcentral is "tRNA-Met". Lineage: Eukaryota; Metazoa; Mollusca; Cephalopoda; Octopoda; Luteuthidae. The record is from RNAcentral.
AAUAAAGUAAGCUAAUAGAAAGCUGUUGGGUUCAUACCCCAAAAAUAGAUAAAUAUAAAUUCUCUUUAUUA